UGCCUAGUAACGGCGAGUGAACAGGCAAGAGCUCAGAUUUGAAAGGCACUUUUGUGCCGUUGUAUUCUGAAGUUAGGGUCCUGAGAAACGAUGCUUAAGUCUUCUGGAAAGGAGCGCCAUGGAGGGUGAUAGCCCCGUCUAGCAUUGACCUCAUAUAGGAUCUUAACAUGGAGUCGAGUUGUUUGGGAAUGCAGCUCAAAUGGGUGGUAUGCUCCAUCUAAAGCUAAAUAUCUGCGAGAGACCGAUAGUAAACAAGUACUGUGAGGGAAAGAUGAAAAGAACUUUGAAAAGAGAGUGAAAAAGUACGUGAAAUUGUUGAAAUGGAAGGGUAGGCCGCUAACCAUGUAGAGCCGUGUUUGGGGGGAAGAUAAAUGCUGUAGAAUGUAGCUCCUCGGAGUAUUAUAGAUGCAGUUCAUAUUCCCACCCGAGCGCGAGGAUCUCAGGUUCUACUAAAUGGUGGUCUACCACCCGUCUUGAAACACGGACCA
This 488-nucleotide ribosomal RNA is filed under the name Starmerella bacillaris. RNAcentral describes it as "eukaryotic LSU rRNA". It matches the Rfam family "Eukaryotic large subunit ribosomal RNA", at positions 76 to 668 of the family's 3401-position model. Lineage: Eukaryota; Fungi; Ascomycota; Dipodascomycetes; Dipodascales; Trichomonascaceae. The record is from RNAcentral.